Molecule: long non-coding RNA, 2146 nt
Organism: Macaca fascicularis (crab-eating macaque)
Lineage: Eukaryota; Metazoa; Chordata; Mammalia; Primates; Cercopithecidae
Source: Ensembl
AGAGUAGCUGAGGAUGCUAAGGAGGCUGGGGGCUGGCCCACGGGGGGAGCAGAGGAGUCCUCAGUGCGGUCCUCACUCUGGAAACAGCAUUUUUCCCUAGGCUUGAGAAUGACUCCAGGGAUGGACUGAUCCAGGCUGGACCCACAUCUGUCCGGUGAUACCAGGGGCAGAGGGACCACUCUGACAGAAUUGCCAGUUUCCCCAGGAAGCCCAAGAUCCAGGCCAGGCGCAGUGGCUCACACCUGCAAUCCCAGCACUUUGGGAGGCCGAGGCAGUUGGAUCACCUGAGGUCAGGAGUUCAAGACCAGCCUGACCAACAUGAAAGAAUUUCUGUGGAGCCCCCAUCCAGCUGGACCUAGAAACACAAUCUUCACCAGCUCAUUCCUGCCCUGGAGUCCUGGAGCACUGGGCCACCUCUGCGCUGUCUGCUCUGGCCCGGAAUCAAGUACGCGGGGCACCAUCCCCUCCACCUGCAAACCCCACGACCCCUGACCCUCUAAGUCAUUCUGCAGCCCACCAGUCACAACCUAGCGAUGGAGGGUGCAAGGCCAGAGACUCCCAGCUCCUUUUCCUCAGGUAUUCCUGCCUGGCCACCUCUCAGCACUCCUUGGAGCCCGAGUUCUUGCAAGUCAGACUUUCUAGGAGUGGAACCUGACCUUGGCCUUCUUCUCUAACCAUCUGCUCCGCCUUUUCUUUGCCAUCACCCUCAUGUGAUCCAGGGCAGCAGCUUUCUCGUUGUAUUGACUGGAACCUACAGUAAGAAAUGCAUCUGACAUCUUGACUUCACACACACUCACACCUAGGAAUGGAACCAAAGCCUGGGGGAGGAACACCCGCCCUUACUACAGGGAGUGCAGCCUGACACCGUCUUUCUGUUCUAUUUUAAAAUUUAAUUUAAUUAAUGUAUUUAUUUUGAACCAGACCUGGGUGACAGAGCGAGACUCCAUCUGAAGAAAGAAAGACAGAAAGAAAGUGAGAGAGAGAGGGGAAGGAAGGAAGGAAGGAAGGAAGGAAGGAAGGAAGGAAGGAAGGAAGGAAGGAAGGAAGGCAGGCAGGCAGGCAGGGAGGGAGGGAGAGAGGGAAGGAGGGAGGGAGGGAAGGAGGGAGGAAGGGGAAGGAAAGAAAAACUCUUCUAGAGCAGAAACAUCCAAUCCUGCAAAGCCCAAAGAUGCCGUUGUAGAAUAUAACUAGGAUAGCUCAAAAACUCACAUUUUCUGAGGGUGCCCUCUGUGUCAGGCACAGUUAUAAGCGUUUUACAUAUAUUAAUUCAUUUAAUCCCAACAACAGUUCUGAAAGUUGAGCACCAUUAUUAGUGUCCCCAGGCUACAGAUGAGGAAGCAGACGCGCAGAGAGGUUAAGUCACCUAAGGUCACACAGCUCCACAGUGGCAGGGCCAGGCAGUCUGGUUCCAAAGAAGGUGCUCUUAACCCCCAAGCUUCACCACACUUUUCCUGGCCAAAGCAAAAGGGUAAAGACUUGAGCUGGGCAGUUUCUGCCUCGCCUGGAAGGAAAAGACCCACACCCAGCAAAGCGGGCUUCCUGCCAGGAUGGGGCAUGGAGGCAGGUGUCUGGAGUCCCUUGUGCAGGGGCUGAAGUGGCCUUUCUCAAACUUGCAGCCCCCACUACAUGGGUGCUCAGAAUGGCUGCCCUGCAAUAACCCUUCUUGUGGGCAUGCGUGGGUGGUGGUGGUGGUGAAGCCACUCCGGGUUGAGCAGAGCAAAAAUGUUUGCAGUGUUUGUGAGAAGAAGCUGUGAGUUGCUUGGCUUUUGGAGGGGAAGUUCUGCAGGGACGUUCUGCAGGACAGGGUUACGGGAAAGAAGAAAGCCUGGGCUGGAGUGGUGGCUCACGCCUGGAAUCCCAGCAUUUUGGGAGGCUCACUCAGGAGGAUCACCUGAGGUCAGGAGUUUGAGACCAGCCUGGCCAACAUGGUGAAACCCUGUCUCUGCUAAAAAUACAAACUUAGCUGGGUGUGGUGGCGGGCGCCUGUAGGUAGUUACAGCUACUUGGGAGGCUGAGGCAGGAGAAUUGCUUGAACCCAGGAAGCGGAGGUUGCAGUGAGCCGAGAUCUCACCACUGCAUUCCAGCCUGGGUGAUGAGGAAGACUCCAUCUCAAAUAAAUAAAUAAACAAAUAAAUAAAGUUAACCU